GACGAACGCUGGCGGCGUGCUUAACACAUGCAAGUCGAACGGAAAGGCCCUGCUUGCAGGGUACUCGAGUGGCGAACGGGUGAGUAACACGUGGGUGAUCUGCCCUGCACUUCGGGAUAAGCCUGGGAAACUGGGUCUAAUACCGGAUAGGAGCCAUUUUUAGUGUGAUGGUUGGAAAGUUUUUUCGGUGUAGGAUGAGCUCGCGGCCUAUCAGCUUGUUGGUGGGGUAAUGGCCUACCAAGGCGGCGACGGGUAGCCGGCCUGAGAGGGUGGACGGCCACAUUGGGACUGAGAUACGGCCCAGACUCCUACGGGGGGCAGCAGUGGGGAAUAUUGCACAAUGGGCGGAAGCCUGAUGCAGCAACGCCGCGUGGGGGAUGACGGCCUUCGGGUUGUAAACCGCUUUCGCCGGGGACGAAGCUUUUGUGACGGUAACUGGUAAAGAAGCCCCGGCUAACUACGUG
This 464-nucleotide ribosomal RNA is filed under the name uncultured bacterium. RNAcentral describes it as "partial 16S ribosomal RNA". It matches the Rfam family "Bacterial small subunit ribosomal RNA", at positions 28 to 507 of the family's 1533-position model. The record is from RNAcentral.